Molecule: long non-coding RNA, 424 nt
Filed under: Pan troglodytes (chimpanzee)
Lineage: Eukaryota; Metazoa; Chordata; Mammalia; Primates; Hominidae
Description: long non-coding RNA NONPTRT011216
Source: RNAcentral
GGAAGUGGCGCAGGAUCCAGGCUCCGACGAAGGGAGAGGCCGUCUUAGGGAAGAUUAAGCAUGGAGACAGUCACACAACACUGCCAUCUUUUACCCAAAUAAAUAGUCAUCACUUUACAGUCUUGUGCCAAAGCAUUAUCCAUUAGCCAGACCGCCUGAGAAAGGCAAAAGACUCCUGACAUCUGGAAAUCUUGCAGGCUUUCAAGGCUGCCUAUCUGCUUAUAAAACAAGGACGUGUCCGUUAUAGCUUUAAGUCUGCACUCUAUGUCUAGCUCCUAAAACUAGAGUCUGCCAGGUUCCACGCUGAUGAUGCUCAUCUUCCUGGGUACAGAACAAAGACAAGAUAAGGUCAACCAUUCUUCUGCCACCUGCCAUCCUACAAGCCUUCUCCCUGUAAGGAAAUAUGUAAAUUCUAAACCUCCUG